GGGAAUGUAGCUCAAUGGUUAGAGCGAUGGACUUUUAAUCCAUCGGUUGCGGGUUCGAAUCUCGUCAUUCUCA
Molecule: transfer RNA, 73 nt
Filed under: Stylonychia lemnae
Lineage: Eukaryota; Ciliophora; Spirotrichea; Sporadotrichida; Oxytrichidae
Description: tRNA-Lys
Rfam family: tRNA
About the family: Transfer RNA (tRNA) molecules are approximately 80 nucleotides in length.
Source: RNAcentral